Molecule: ribosomal RNA, 254 nt
Filed under: uncultured bacterium
Lineage: Bacteria
Description: partial 16S ribosomal RNA
Rfam family: Bacterial small subunit ribosomal RNA
Source: RNAcentral
UACGUAGGGCGCAAGCGUUGUCCGGAAUUAUUGGGCGUAAAGAGCUCGUAGGCGGUCUGUCACGUCUGCCGUGAAAACCCGAGGCUUAACCUCGUGGCUUGCGGUGGAUACGGGCAGACUAGAGGUAGGUAGGGGAGAACGGAAUUCCCGGUGUAGCGGUGAAAUGCGCAGAUAUCGGGAGGAACACCGGUGGCGAAGGCGGUUCUCUGGGCCUUACCUGACGCUGAGGAGCGAAAGCGUGGGGAGCGAACAGG